ACUCCUACGGGAGGCAGCAGUGGGGAAUAUUGCACAAUGGGCGCAAGCCUGAUGCAGCCAUGCCGCGUGUGUGAAGAAGGCCUUCGGGUUGUAAAGCACUUUCAGUCGUGAGGAAGGUAGUGUAGUUAAUAGCUGCAUUAUUUGACGUUAGCGACAGAAGAAGCACCGGCUAACUCCGUGCCAGCAGCCGCGGUAAUACGGAGGGUGCGAGCGUUAAUCGGAAUUACUGGGCGUAAAGCGCAUGCAGGUGGUUUGUUAAGUCAGAUGUGAAAGCCCGGGGCUCAACCUCGGAAUAGCAUUUGAAACUGGCAGACUAGAGUACUGUAGAGGGGGGUAGAAUUUCAGGUGUAGCGGUGAAAUGCGUAGAGAUCUGAAGGAAUACCGGUGGCGAAGGCGGCCCCCUGGACAGAUACUGACACUCAGAUGCGAAAGCGUGGGGAGCAAAC
This 446-nucleotide ribosomal RNA is filed under the name uncultured bacterium. RNAcentral describes it as "bacterial SSU rRNA". It matches the Rfam family "Bacterial small subunit ribosomal RNA", at positions 335 to 773 of the family's 1533-position model. The record is from RNAcentral.